Molecule: ribosomal RNA, 294 nt
Filed under: uncultured bacterium
Lineage: Bacteria
Description: partial 16S ribosomal RNA
Rfam family: Bacterial small subunit ribosomal RNA
Source: RNAcentral
CCUACGGGAGGCAGCAGCCGCGGUAAUACGUAUGGAGCAAGCGUUAUCCGGAUUUACUGGGUGUAAAGGGAGCGCAGGCGGCCUUGCAAGUCUGAUGUGAAAGGCCGGGGCCCAACCCCGGGACUGCAUUGGAGACUGCGAGGCUGGAGUGUCGGAGAGGCAGGCGGAAUUCCUAGUGUAGCGGUGAAAUGCGUAGAUAUUAGGAGGAACACCAGUGGCGAAGGCGGCCUGCUGGACGAUGACUGACGCUGAGGCCCGAAAGCGUGGGGAGCAAACAGGAUUAGAUACCCCCGU